UUUUAUCCGCUGGAUCUGCAGGAACGACGACGAUGAUGCCGGCGCAUCCGGGCUCUUCGUCGACCUUCCCGUGCUGGAGGCCGACACUGCCGGCUUCUCCUACCGCUGCCUGGAAUCUCUGUUGCUGCUCAAGGUGUUGCAUCUCCUCCACGGUCUCCCUCCUCGGCUGCUGCGCCUCCUCCGCGGCUGGGCGCCAGGGCAGUUGGGAAUCAAACGAAGAGGUCAAGGGGAGCCACAACGGUGAGACGCGACGCUAAGGAGUAAGACGGCCGGAUCUGGAGCUUGAGGCCCUCCACCGCGCUUGUGUUCGUCAGAUUGCAAGUAAGCCCUGGAGUUGUACAGAGGAGAGGAAGAGGCAGUCACUGAGGGCGUGCUACGUCUACGGGCUCAUCUUCUUCGCCAUCAACCCGCACAGACAGCGCUGCUGUCGGAGUCGUCGGUGGAUGAGACGCCCACGCCACCAGCGUCUGCAGAGUCUUCGAACAUGUGCUCCCAAUAUUGCAGCCACGUCCUUCUUAUCAGUUCUCUUGAACUUGUCUCCUCUACUCUUAUGGAGGGUUUCCAAGGACAUGUGGAGUGAAAUUGAGGUCUGGGACUACCAUGAUUUAUACUGAGCCAAUGAUCUACCGUUGUCGCCGUUGAGGAUCUGCUGCUGUUGCUUCUGUUGAGGGCCAAUGAUCUGCUACUGUUGAUGUUGAGGAUCUGCUGCUGUUGCUUCUGUUGAGGGCCAAUGAUUUGCUACUGUGGAUGUUGAGGAUCUGCUGCUGUUGCUUCUAUUGAGGGCCAAUGAUCUGCUGUUGUUUCUUCUGUUGAGGAUCUGCUGCCGAAGGCAAGGAGCUACAGUUGAGGAUCUGCUAGGCAAGGAGCACCGAGCCUGGAGGUGGUCACGCAUGAGAGGAGCUCCUGAUCUUCUCCCCUGGCCCCCGGUGAGCUGGACCUUGCUGGCGACACGGGGAAGAAGGGAGGUGGUUCUGGGCGAGCUUUACCUUGCCGGCGAAGUGCUGCUGGGGCCGGCGGCCGGCGAGGUGCCCUCCUGGGGCCGGCGGCAAGGUUCCUGGAUGAGCAGGAAGCUGGGCAGGGAGGAGGAGAUCCUGGGCGGAGGAGAAUCUGGGCGAGGUGGGCAGGAAGGAGAUCCUGGCGAGGUGGGCAGGGAGAAGCUGGGCGGCGAGCCGGCAACGCGCUGGGAGGCGAUGCACUUGGCGAAGCGAUCCCGAUGGUUUUUGAAUUUCAAGUUGAUGGAGAUUGUUGUCCAUUAGCGUUUUUUUGGGGGCUGUCAGAAAUCUCCUUCCGCGGCCUACAAAAGUGAACGGAGGGAGUACUAUUUUGUCUGGCGGAUAGUGUCGAUGGCAUCAUCAACGUCUGUCGAAGUGGUGGUCACAUACUGCAGGUAUGCUAGCUCCUCACAAUAAAGACAUAAUUUUAAGUUUGUUACAGUUUAUGGAUGAAACUGGGAAUCACGUUCCACAAGCACCUCAUAGUUAUGUAUAGUUUUUCUGUACAUAUGGUGUGCUGAACUCCUAUUUAAAGACGUUAUCAUUAUCCAUCUGAUCCUUCUAUUUGUUAGUUGGUUUCCUAAAUAAAUCAGUUCAGACGAUUAAUUGAUU
Triticum dicoccoides is the source of this 1604-nucleotide long non-coding RNA. RefSeq lists it as uncharacterized. The transcript is spliced from 5 exons. NCBI's taxonomy places the organism in Eukaryota, Viridiplantae, Streptophyta, Magnoliopsida, Poales, Poaceae. The record is from RefSeq and is a predicted model, not a curated record.